CACUGCAUCACUGAUAAAGCUUUUAUUUUCAGCAUUUUAGAAGUGCAUUUCCUGCCAUCUAUGAAUAGGUCUCCAAGCGAUAUGAAUAGGCCCCCAAGAGGGUGCGGCUCAGAACACGGACAAUGCAUCCAGCCUGCUCCUCCUCUCUGUCAGAGAUCAGGCCACCCCGAGCUUUCUGAAAACCAUUCGAGGGAAAGAGGCAAUAAAUAGCCCUAGGAACUCUGCUAAUGCUUGACACCAGGGAAGUCUGAGGUUGACAGCAGGGUUUGGCGUGGGCAGGAUGAGGGGUUGUUGGUGUAAUAGUGCAGAGGGAAAAAGAGAAGAAAAAGGAGUGCAAGGAGGAGAGGGAGAGUGGGAAGAGGAAGACAAAGAGAAAGAAGAAGAAAAAGAAGAAGUGGUAACAACAAAAACAACGGCAAUAACAAUAAGACCUGAGGUCACAUUCAAACAAAAAGAGCCCCUAAGGCAAUGUUUUUCAAAAUGCAGAAUACUUGUUCAGAAUGCUUGCGCUGUCAUUAAAAUGCACCACUCUGCCAUCUUCCCGGAAGUCCUUAAAAUGUAGCUUCCUGAGCCAUUAACAAUAUAAAUUUGUACAAAAAAGGCUUAGAAAUGUCUUUUUCACAAGACCCUCAAGGUGAUUCUGG
Molecule: long non-coding RNA, 644 nt
Filed under: Chinchilla lanigera (long-tailed chinchilla)
Lineage: Eukaryota; Metazoa; Chordata; Mammalia; Rodentia; Chinchillidae
Description: lncRNA (ENSCLAG00000024378.1)
Source: RNAcentral